UAAUAAGUGGUUUAUGGCACUUUUUAAAUCCAUAUCCACCUUGUGUGAAAUGUCAGUCGAUCUUCUUUAUGGAGAUCGGCCAAAAAUCAACCUAAUUUUUUAACUCUUUGUCUGAAAAUAUUAUGAAUAAAUAAUUCAAAAUA
This 143-nucleotide unclassified non-coding RNA is filed under the name uncultured Mortierella. RNAcentral describes it as "sequence contains ITS1". The record is from RNAcentral. Lineage: Eukaryota; Fungi; Mortierellomycota; Mortierellomycetes; Mortierellales; Mortierellaceae.